UCUCAGUUCAGAUUGUAGGCUGAAACUCGCCUAUAUGAAGUCGGAAUUGCUAGUAAUCGCAGAUCAGCAUGCUGCGGUGAAUACGUUCCCGGGCCUUGUACACACCGCCCGUCACACCAUGAGAGUCGAUAACACCCGAAGCCUGUAGUCUAACCAUAAGGAGGACGCAGUCGAAGGUGGGAUUGAUAAUUAGGGUGAAGUCGUAACAAGGUAAC
Molecule: ribosomal RNA, 215 nt
Filed under: uncultured bacterium
Lineage: Bacteria
Description: partial 16S ribosomal RNA
Rfam family: Bacterial small subunit ribosomal RNA
Source: RNAcentral